Molecule: transfer RNA, 68 nt
Filed under: Bacteroides fluxus
Lineage: Bacteria; Pseudomonadati; Bacteroidota; Bacteroidia; Bacteroidales; Bacteroidaceae
Also listed under: 2 other names
Rfam family: tRNA
About the family: Transfer RNA (tRNA) molecules are approximately 80 nucleotides in length. Their secondary structure includes four short double-helical elements and three loops (D, anti-codon, and T loops). Further hydrogen bonds mediate the characteristic L-shaped molecular structure. tRNAs have two regions of fundamental functional importance: the anti-codon, which is responsible for specific mRNA codon recognition, and the 3' end, to which the tRNAs corresponding amino acid is attached (by aminoacyl-tRNA synthetases). tRNAs cope with the degeneracy of the genetic code in two manners: having more than one tRNA (with a specific anti-codon) for a particular amino acid; and 'wobble' base-pairing, i.e. permitting non-standard base-pairing at the 3rd anti-codon position.
Source: RNAcentral
GGCAAUAGCUCAGUUGGUAGAGCAUCAGCUUCCCAAGCUGAGGGUCGCGAGUUCGAGCCUCGUUUGCC